UGCCAGCCGCCGCGGUAAUACGGAGGGUGCAAGCGUUAAUCGGAAUUACUGGGCGUAAAGCGCGCGUAGGUGGUCUGUUAAGUCGGAUGUGAAAGCCCUGGGCUCAACCUGGGAACUGCAUCCAAAACUGAUUCACUAGAGUACGAUAGAGGGAGGUAGAAUUCACAGUGUAGCGGUGGAAUGCGUAGAUAUUGUGAAGAAUACCAAUGGCGAAGGCAGCCUCCUGGAUCUGUACUGACACUGAGGUGCGAAAGUGUGGGGAGCAAACAGGAUUAGAUA
RNAcentral lists this ribosomal RNA (279 nucleotides) under uncultured bacterium. RNAcentral describes it as "partial 16S ribosomal RNA". It matches the Rfam family "Bacterial small subunit ribosomal RNA", at positions 506 to 784 of the family's 1533-position model. The record is from RNAcentral.